RNAcentral lists this ribosomal RNA (244 nucleotides) under uncultured eukaryote. RNAcentral's name for it is "partial 18S ribosomal RNA". It matches the Rfam family "Eukaryotic small subunit ribosomal RNA", at positions 1299 to 1456 of the family's 1831-position model. The record is from RNAcentral.
UGGUGGUGUGAAUUGUCUGGUCAAUUCCGAUAACGAACGAGACCUUAACCUACUAAAUAAGUGAGGCACAGGCAACCCUGAAGUAAGGGAUGCUUCUAUUGGGUAUUAAGCAAUUAAUGCUUGAUAGGAGUAUUCCUCAGAGAACUGACUGUGAAAGAAAAACCCAUUUUUAACUAAAUGAGGACUCACUUCUUAGAGGGACUAUUUGUGUUUAUAACCAGCAAAUGGAAGUUUGAGGCAAUAA